Long non-coding RNA from Mesocricetus auratus (golden hamster), 3076 nucleotides. RefSeq lists it as uncharacterized. The transcript is spliced from 3 exons. The record is from RefSeq and is a predicted model, not a curated record. NCBI's taxonomy places the organism in Eukaryota, Metazoa, Chordata, Mammalia, Rodentia, Cricetidae.
GACCCAGGUGGAUGCCAUAGGGAAAAAAUGGAGCGGGAUUUUUAUUCCACCACCUCAUUACCCACUAGGAAGAUCAUUUUGGGAACUACUAAGCUUCCUCUUCUACAGGCUAGACCGUGUCUGCCACUCUUCUACAGGAUUCUGUGGCCAGUUGGGGAUCUAGCCCUGUCAGUUGGUUUGUCCCCUGGAAGGACUCAGACAUCACCUGAACCUUCAUUCCAACUUUCCUCGAUCUCUCUGUUUUACCUGUCCACGCCACUGGUUACUCCUGGAAGGCAUCUCUGAUUCUGACACUUGGCUACUCAACUCCUUACACAAGCCCUUGAUGCUCAGGGCCUCCAAGAAGCCAGACAUGCCUGUCUUCCUGUCUCACAUUGCUCCCCCACACAGCAAGAGCUUCAUGCAAUGACUGAAGAGCAUGUGCACCUUCUCCAAGGAAGACAUGGCAUGCCUCUAGGCCGUAACCCAUGCUGCUCUCGCUGCCUAGGAUGCUUGUCCUUGUGUCUGUUGAGUGAUUGCUAUCUAUGCAGCCGAAUCAUGAGAGGAGGGCAAAGGAGACUUGGUAUAUGGCCAGCACAUCUUGCCACAAACAUGGUUCUCAUCCAAGCUGGCAAUCAGACCCCAGAGCCUCAGGGGUGGGCACCAGGCCACCAUGAGGAGGCGAAGUGGCCAGGCAGGACUCACAGCACUGUUUCCCAAGCUGCCAGAAUUCUGGAAUGUGUGGUCCCGUCCUGUCUCGUCUGUGGUUAGGGAAAUAUUCAGCUGAAAAUAAGCACUCCUCAUUCCUAAUGAGGAAUGACAUCAGGGACCCUCUGACCCGCACAAAAGAAACCCAAGCAUCAGCCUGGUCGCAUCUACCUCCAGAGGUCCACCUGCACCAUGCUGUGUGACACCUCAUUAACCUCUCUGCCAAUUUGCUUCCACUUAGGAGAGAGUGGCUCCUGCCGGCUCAGACACACAGAUCCCAUGGGGACCCAGCCCAGGGUGCUCUGCCCUGCCUCAUCUCACUGUCUGCCCUUUGAGCACACCUCCUGUGGCUGGCUGUUCUUCCUAUGUACUGGUCUAUAGCUCUGAUCUCGCCUGGCUAGAACUGAAUCCUCUAAGCAAGUCCAGCUGCCACUGUCCCCAGGUUCUGUGCCUUCCCCAUCCCUCCCAGAGAGAGCCCUGCAGAGGCCUGGGGGCCAGCUGUGGGCGGGCUCCCUGCCACGGUCCUCUAGUGAGGGUGUCCACUGUUGUCACCCAUCCCCCGAGGACAUUGGUAGUUUUCCUCUCUUGCUUGCUUUUGGGGAUGGCACUAAGUAGCUGACAGGGCAGGUUUACACCUGGGAAGGGACUAGAGCAAGGACUCAAUAGAUGGCCAGGGUCAGGAGCCAUCCAAGGGUCACAUUAGGGCUCGGUGCUUUGGUCUAUAAUGGGCAGGGCUCACCAGGGUUAAGGUUUGGGUUCAGUCAGGGACAAGGCUGAGGUCUGCAUACAAUCAGGAUCAGGGGUUAGUUUAUUAUAUGAGCCAGGAGCAGGGAUUAGUAUAUAUGCUUAGUGUUCAGACUCCAAGACCAGAGUCCAGUAUAAGUUUAUAGCCAGAACUAAUUUCAGCCUGUGAGCAUCAAUUCUUACCUGCUACCUAGUCUCCAUUCUGACUAGGAUCAGGGCUCAGCUAAGCACAAGGGUCAGGGCCGACCCUCCUACCAAAUCAGAAGUCUGUGAGAAGGGCUGAGUCCUAGGUCAAACUCAGCCUUAGGUUCUAACUAGGGGGAAACCUGAAGCCAGGGUUGGUCCACGCUUAUAACCCAGUAUAGCCCAGGCACGGGAGGGAUGAAGGCUCAAUGUGAAACAGGAUGGAGGCUCAACCCACAUUUGUUUACCAAUUCCUCUUAUGCACAUAACAGAGCAGACGGGGCUUCAGAAACACGUAACUCCUAAAAUGUGGGUACCUACUAUCAACUGACAUCUAUUUGUCACACCAGCUUUCUCUAGGGAGCCACCUCCGGGAAUCCAGGGCACUACCAGCCUCCUGCAGGGGAGACUCCUGGCUCCAGGGUGGUUAAGGAAGAAUCUGUGGGAAGAAGAGGAGGGAUGGGGUGCGUGCCCAGUCCCCUGCCCAGGCUCUGCAGCCCCCUUGGAGCGGGCGUGUUGACAGGAGACUUAAUGAGACCCAGAGGGAGGUGCUCUCUCAGGGCCACCUGGAAGCAAGCCCGGGUUGGGAAUUAAAUUAAAUGUUGGUGUAUGUCCCAACAAGCACAAAGGCGCGAGCCCGGGCCAGGGCCCAGUCACUGCGGGAGUUUGCCAUAAUUACAGGGCAAAAUAAGUUUCGGAACUUGCAUAACUCCACUAAGUGGGCCCUGAGGCUUAGGCCGAGUCACUCUCCUCCAGAAAACACUUGCUCCGCGAGGCUGCACCUGUGAGCCACCGUCAGUUCCUCAGGUGACAGGGUGGGAAUGGGUACAGAGCAGGACCUUGGCUCUUGUCCCUGUCUUGUAGAGGGGCCAAUAAGCAAAGGUCACUUGUGUAAGACAUGAUAAGCACCAGGCUCCAUGCUCUAGUCCUAUCUCCUGCUCUGGGAAGAGCAGCAGUACCUCCCCCCAUACUCCAGGGGAAGGGGACCCACACACCGGGCAGAGAAGUCUACAGAAGGAUGCUGGCUGGACAGGACACAGCAGGAGAAAAGGAGGGGUCCAAUGCUGAGUACUUACACAGGGCUGGGGAGCAUCUUCAAGAUCUUUCAGGUGGUAAACAGAGGCUCCGGGAACUGCAGUCGCCCGCCCAAAGCAACAGCCCAGAAGUGGCCCUAAGAUUAGACCCUAGGCUGCAUUCUGCUUCCUGCCUCUUAAAAACAAAACCAAAAACCUAUCACACUGAUGCUCUGCCUUUCUCAGAACAUUUGGCAAGACAACGAACAAGAUGCUAAUGGAUGCCAGAAGAAGGCAUUGGAUCCCCUGGAACUGGAGUUCCUGAUGGUUUGUGAGUCACUUGAUGUGGGUGCUGAGAACUGAACCCCAGUCUUCUGCAAAGGAACAAGCACUAUUGCUGAGCUACCUCUCCAGUGCCCCGAUUAAUAAACACAAUUGCUUCUUUCCCA